This is a non-coding RNA of Triticum aestivum (bread wheat), 119 nucleotides long. The record is from Rfam. NCBI's taxonomy places the organism in Eukaryota, Viridiplantae, Streptophyta, Magnoliopsida, Poales, Poaceae.
GAAUGCGAUCAUACCAGCACUAAAGCACCGGAUCCCAUCAAAACUCUGAAGUUAAGCAUGCUUGGGUGUGAGUAGUAAUAGGAUGGGUGUCCUCCUGGGAAAUCCUCAUGUUGCACUCC